AUGGGGAAACAUCAGUCGGGUGCCUAUAAGCGCAAGAAAAAAGCAGAAGAAGAAAAUUUAAUUAAGAAAUCUUAUAAAGGUGGUAUGGACAGAUUUGUUAAAAAAAGUACCCAAGUGUCAUCUGGUAAUCAGUCUACUGAUCCUUCUACCCUUGCACUUGCAAUUGUUCCUUACAAUGAUUCUAGAGAUAGUCAGACGGAGACAGAUAAUAUGGACGUAGAGGAAGAUAAUAUUGAUGUUAACUUGAAUAGUUCACCUCGUGAGGAUUUUGAUGAUUCUUUUCGGUCUGAUAUAUUUGAUCCAAGAAACUGGGAUUCUCUUAAUUCUAAACAGAUUGAUAUCUUAGCACAGAAGGGUCCAAAAACAGACAAGUUAGUUAAAGGUCCCAAAGAUAGAUAUCGUAAAAGGUUUACUUCAGUAUUCUAUACUAGAAUCCUAUCAAAUGGAGAGUAUUUUGAUAGAGACUGGCUUGUCUAUUCUGAACAACUUGAUAGAGUCUUUUGCUUUGGUUGUAAAUUAUUUACAAAAGGUCAUCGGAAAGGUCAGUUGGCAAAUGAGGGCUGUAAUGAUUGGUCACAUAUGACCAAUAGACUAAAAGAUCAUGAGACAAGUGUGGAUCAUGUUUUGAGUAUGACUAAUUGGUAUGAGUUGCGUAGUAGAUUGGAAAAACAUCAAACUAUUGAUAAAGCUGCUCAACGACAACUUGAGAAAGAGAAGGACCAUUGGAGAAAGGUAUUAUUCAGAAUUGUUUGCAUUGUAAAAUUUCUUGCAAAGCAUAAUCUAGCAUUCUGUGGUACUAAUGGCAAGCUGUAUGAAGAUAGCAAUGGUAAUUUCUUGGGUUUGGUAGAGAUGUUGGCUGAAUUUGACCCCGUUAUUCAGGAGCAUGUUUGUCGUAUUACAAAUGAAGAAACUCAUGCUCAUUAUCUUGAUCAUAAGAUUCAGAAUGAAUUGCUACACUUGCUCGCUUCUGCUAUUAGGUCUGAAAUUAUCAAGAAAAUAAAGAGCUCAAAGUAUUUCUCUGUCAUACUUGAUUGUACCCCAGAUGCAAGUCAGCAAGAGCAAAUGUCUUUAAUUAUAAGAUAUGUGGAUUCAUCUUCAAGUCAAGUUUGCAUAGAAGAGCCCUUUCUAGGAUUUCUGGAUGUAAAUGAUACAACCGGCCAAGGACUUUUCGAUGUGCUAGAGAAGGAGCUAAAACUUCUUGAUCUUGAUAUAAAUGAUGUGCGAGGACAAGGUUAUGAUAAUGGAUCAAAUAUGAAAGGAACGCAUCAAGGGUUACAAAGGAAACUUUUGGAUGUAAAUCCUAGAGCUUUUUAUUCAGCUUGUGGUUGUCAUAGCCUUAAUUUAACACUUUGUGAUAUGGCCAAGACUUGUGGUAGAGCAAAGGACUUUUUUGGAAUCAUCCAACGCAUCUAUACAAAUUUUUCCAAUUCUACUAAGAAAUGGCAUAUUUUGAAAGAAAACGUAUCAGGAUUGACUCUCAAGUCUGUGUCCGCUAUGCGUUGGGAGAGUCGUGUUGAAAUUGUUAAAGCUAUCAGAUUUCAAUGUUCAGACAUUCGGGAGGCUCUACUUCAGGUAUCUGAUAUUGAUCCAAAGGCAAGCAGUGAGGCUCUAGGUUUGGCAAAUAAUGAACUUGGAGAGUAUGAAUUUAUCGUGGCAAUAGUCAUUUGGUAUGAGGUAUUGUUUGCUGUUAAUUUAGUAAGCCAAAACUUGCAAACAAAGGAUAUGCUUAUUGAUGUUGCUAUCGAGAAAGUGAAAGGGCUUAUUUCUUUCUUCGAGGGGUACACGGAAACUGGUUUCUUAGAAGCAUUGGAGAUAGCCAAAUAAAUUGCACUUGAGAUGGAUAUUGGUGCAACAUUUCGUAAAAGGAGAGAAAUUAAAAGAAAGAAACAGUAUGAUGAGAACCCAGACGGCACAAAUAUUGCCACACGGGCUGCAGAGGAAUCAUUUAGAAUCAACUAUUUUACACGUGUUGUCGAUCAAGCAAUUUCCUCACUCACAAGGAGAUUUGAGCAAUAUCAAGGUUACCAGAAAUUUUUUGGUUUCUUAUUUACCUCUGAAACAUUGCGUUCAUUGGAUAAGGAUAGUUUGAAAUCUUCUUGAGUUAAUCUUGAGGCUGCCCUUAUGAAAGAUAAACAAUCUGAUAUUGAUGCCAAUGAUCUGUUUGUUGAGUUGAAGUUCCUUCAAAAUUUCAUGCCAAAAGAAAAUAUCGGACCUGUUGAAAUUCUGAAUUUUUUAAAGCGGCAUCACUAUUUUCCCAAUGCAAGUAUUGCAUAUAGAGUUCUGUUGACCAUUCCUGUGACAGUUGCAUCGGCAGAAAGAAGUUUUUUUAAGUUGAAGCUAUUGAAGUCCUAUAUGCGUAGUACUAUGACACAACAAAGACUCAAUGAUUUGGCCACAAUAGCACUUGAGAGUGAAGUGUUGGAGAAGAUUGAUUACGAGGGUAUCAUUGUAGAUUUCAUUUCAAAACAUACUAAAAGAAUGAAGUUUUUCAAAUAA
RNAcentral lists this ribosomal RNA (2496 nucleotides) under Triticum aestivum (bread wheat). Its description in RNAcentral is "partial small subunit ribosomal RNA". The record is from RNAcentral. Lineage: Eukaryota; Viridiplantae; Streptophyta; Magnoliopsida; Poales; Poaceae.